This 253-nucleotide ribosomal RNA is filed under the name uncultured bacterium. RNAcentral's name for it is "partial 16S ribosomal RNA". It matches the Rfam family "Bacterial small subunit ribosomal RNA", at positions 524 to 776 of the family's 1533-position model. The record is from RNAcentral.
UACGGGGGGGGCAAGCGUUGUUCGGAAUUACUGGGCGUAAAGGGCUCGUAGGCGGCCAACUAAGUCGGACGUGAAAUCCCUCGGCUUGACCGGGGAACUGCGUCCGAUACUGGAUGGCUUGAGUUCGGGAGAGGGAUGCGGAAUUCCAGGUGUAGCGGUGAAAUGCGUAGAUAUCUGGAGGAACACCGGUGGCGAAGGCGGCAUCCUGGACCGACACUGACGCUGAGGAGCGAAAGCCAGGGGAGCAAACGGG